Molecule: ribosomal RNA, 490 nt
Filed under: uncultured bacterium
Lineage: Bacteria
Description: bacterial SSU rRNA
Rfam family: Bacterial small subunit ribosomal RNA
Source: RNAcentral
AUUGAACGCUGGCGGUCAUGCCUUACACAUGCAAGUCGAACGGCAGGCACGGGGGCAACCCUGGUGGCGAGUGGCGAACGGGGUGAGUAAUACAUCGGAAUGUACCCAGUAGUGGGGGAUAACUAGUCGAAAGAUUAGCCUAAUACCGCAUACGCACUAUGGUGGAAAGCGGGGGAUCGCAAGACCUCGCGCUAUUGGAGCAGCCGAUGUCCGAUUAGGUAGUUGGUGGGGUAAAGGCCUACCAAGCCUGCCGAUCGGUAACUGGGUCUGAGAGGACGACCAGUCACACUGGGACUGAGACACGGCCCAGACUCCUACGGGAGGCAGCAGUGGGGAAUUUUGGACAAUGGGGGGAACCCUGAUCCAGCCAUGCCGCGUGCAGGAUGAAGGCCUUCGGGUUGUAAACUGCUUUUGUACGGAACGAAAAGGUCUUUUCUAAUAAAGAAGGCUGAUGACGGUACCGUAAGAAUAAGCACCGGCUAACUACGUG